GACGAACGCUGGCGGCGUGCCUAACACAUGCAAGUCGAACGGAAAGGCCCUGCUUUGGGGGGGUGCUCGAGGGGCGAACGAGUGAGUAACACGUGAGUGACCUGCCGUUGACGUUGAGAUGACUUCAGGAAAGUGGGGCUAAUACCGGAUAGGAGCUCGUGAGGCAGGGAGGGCGUGGGAUGGUUUCGGCGGAUGGGGAGGUACUCGCGGCGUAAUAGAUUGUGGGUUGGGUAAAUGCAUACGAAGGCGUUGAGGGGUAGCCGGUCGGAGAGGGUGGUCAGCCGCACUGGGAGGUAGACACGGCCCAUACGCCUGCGGGAGGCAGCAGUGGGGAAUGUUGGACAAUGGGGGGAAGCCUGAUCCAGCCAUGCCGCGUGUAGUAUGAAGGCGUUCGGUUUGGAAACUGCUUUUUUGCGGUACGAAACGCCUUCUUUUAAUACAGAGGGGUCGUGACGGUACCGUAAGAAUAAGCACCGGCUAACUACGUG
This 488-nucleotide ribosomal RNA is filed under the name uncultured bacterium. RNAcentral's name for it is "partial 16S ribosomal RNA". It matches the Rfam family "Bacterial small subunit ribosomal RNA", at positions 28 to 507 of the family's 1533-position model. The record is from RNAcentral.